UCAAGCCUUAAAUUUCUGACAGCUUACUUGUGAUCUCAAGACUGUUCAACUUUCUCUUCUCAGAACUGACUGAAUUCCUGGAAAGACAAAUUUUGGUUUCACUUUUGUGUUCUGGGAAAUACAGUUGAUUCAGAAAUGGGACUUUCCCAACUUCCUCCAUGAUUGGUCAGCAUCACACAGAAAGGUGGGAGAGAAGCCAAGUGAGUAUAUAAGCCCUGUUCAGCCACCUUGUGUGUGUUACUUUGCACAGACAGAGAAGAGGUAGAUUUCAGAAGAAGAGCCUAUCAGAGCUACAAAGCCUUAAACAAUAGUAAGCCAUCAACCAGACACAGGAUUUUCUACUAAUCCAGCAAGGCUAUUCAGAUCCCUAAGGUGGAGAGCCAUCACAGAACCCAAAGAAAAAGCUUUCCACUGUUUAACUAAGCCACAGAGCCAGCUCGGAUUCAGGAGGAGGAAACAGAUAAGGGGCACAACAAAAAUUGUUCAUCAGUGUCAUCGUUGUAAGAGAUAACCAUAGACUCCCAUUCUUUUUCCAAACAGCUGAAGCCAUGCUCAGUUCCCAGAGAUGUGGCACCCUUUCCAUGGUGCAGAUCUUCAGUGCUGUAGAAUGCUUCAUCAGAAUCAGCAAGGAAGAGGAUCUAAAAAAGGAGAAAUUUGAGCAGACAAGGACAAAGGGAAGAUGAUGCAAAGAGAUGCAGAAAAAAAAAGUGGCCAUGAAAAAGUAAAGGAAAGAAACCUGGAAUAGAUUCUUCCUUCACAGUCACAUAAGGAAAUAACCCUGAAGACAUCUUGAUUUUGGACUCAAGCCUCCAAAACUAAGGCAAUAAAUUUAUGUUACUUAAGUCAA
This is a long non-coding RNA of Marmota monax (woodchuck), 847 nucleotides long. RefSeq lists it as uncharacterized. The transcript has 5 exons. The record is from RefSeq and is a predicted model, not a curated record. NCBI's taxonomy places the organism in Eukaryota, Metazoa, Chordata, Mammalia, Rodentia, Sciuridae.